CUCUCUCUCUCACUUCUCUUGUCUAUUUCUCCCUCUUCACUCCCACUCUCCUCUCCUCUCCUCUCUCAUGUCCUGUCCCAGCUCUUUGGGUGGAAGCAGGCUCUGUUCAUCAUAGCACUCCUCCUACCCCAUCAUUGUAGAAGACCAGAGUCAGCCCAGAUAUUCAGCAGCUGCCUAAAAUGCCCCAGCUGGUGACCUCUGACAUGUAAAUGGCGUCCAAAGUGCGAGAUGCUGUGGUGUGGUACCAGAAGAAGAUUGGCGCUUAUGACCAACAGAUAUGGGAGAAGUCUGUUGAACAAAGAGAAAUCAAGGGCCUGAGGAACAAGCCAAAGAAGACAGGCCAUGUGAAAGCAGACCUCAUUGAUGUGGACCUAGUGAGAGGUAAGGAGGACACACCAGCUGUCUCAUUCACUCAGAUACUGUCUGUCCCAGUCCAACCAUGUUGGCUGUCUGUCCCAGUCCAACCAUGUUGGCUGUCUGUCCCAGUCCAACCAUGUUGGCUGUCCGUCCCAGUCCAACCAUGUUGGCUGUCUGUCCCAGUCCAACCAUGUUGGCUGUCUGUCCCAGUCCAACCAUGUUGGCUGUCUGUCCCAGGCCAACCAUGUUGGCUGUCUGUCCCAGGCCAACCAUGUUGGCUGUCUGUCCCAGGCCAACCAUGUUGGCUGUCUGUCCCAGGCCAAACAUGUUGGCUGUCUGUCCCAGUCCAAACAUGUUGGCUGUCUGUCCCAGUCCAAACAUGUUGGCUGUCUGUCCCAGUCCAAACAUGUUGGCUGUCUGUCCCAGUCCAAACAUGUUG
This is a long non-coding RNA of Oncorhynchus tshawytscha (Chinook salmon), 796 nucleotides long. RefSeq lists it as uncharacterized. Lineage: Eukaryota; Metazoa; Chordata; Actinopteri; Salmoniformes; Salmonidae. The record is from RefSeq and is a predicted model, not a curated record. The transcript is spliced from 4 exons.